UUAAGUUAGAAAGGGCGCACGGUGGAUGCCUUGACACUAGGAGUCGAUGAAGGACGGGACUAACGCCGAUAUGCUUCGGGGAGCUGUAAGUAAGCUUUGAUCCGAAGAUUUCCGAAUGGGGAAACCCACCAUACGUAAUGGUAUGGUAUCCUUACCUGAAUACAUAGGGUAAGGAAGACAGACCCAGGGAACUGAAACAUCUAAGUACCUGGAGGAAGAGAAAGCAAAUGCGAUUUCCUGAGUAGCGGCGAGCGAAACGGAACAUAGCCCAAACCAAGAGGCUUGCCUCUUGGGGUUGUAGGACAUUCUAUACGGAGUUACAAAGGAACGAGGUAGACGAAGCGACCUGGAAAGGUCCGUCGUAGAGGGUAACAACCCCGUAGUCGAAACUUCGUUCUCUCUUGAAUGUAUCCUGAGUACGGCGGAACACGUGAAAUUCCGUCGGAAUCUGGGAGGACCAUCUCCCAAGGCUAAAUACUCCCUAGUGAUCGAUAGUGAACCAGUACCGUGAGGGAAAGGUGAAAAGCACCCCGGAAGGGGAGUGAAAGAGAUCCUGAAACCGUGUGCCUACAAAUAGUCAGAGCCCGUUAACGGGUGAUGGCGUGCCUUUUGUAGAAUGAACCGGCGAGUUACGAUCCCGUGCGAGGUUAAGCUGAAGAGGCGGAGCCGCAGCGAAAGCGAGUCUGAAUAGGGCGUUUAGUACGUGGUCGUAGACCCGAAACCAGGUGAUCUACCCAUGUCCAGGGUGAAGUUCAGGUAACACUGAAUGGAGGCCCGAACCCACGCACGUUGAAAAGUGCGGGGAUGAGGUGUGGGUAGCGGAGAAAUUCCAAUCGAACCUGGAGAUAGCUGGUUCUCCCCGAAAUAGCUUUAGGGCUAGCCUUAAGUGUAAGAGUCUUGGAGGUAGAGCACUGAUUGGACUAGGGGUCCUCAUCGGAUUACCGAAUUCAGUCAAACUCCGAAUGCCAAUGACUUAUCCUUAGGAGUCAGACUGCGAGUGAUAAGAUCCGUAGUCAAAAGGGAAACAGCCCAGACCGCCAGCUAAGGUCCCAAAGUGUGUAUUAAGUGGAAAAGGAUGUGGAGUUGCUUAGACAACUAGGAUGUUGGCUUAGAAGCAGCCACCAUUUAAAGAGUGCGUAAUAGCUCACUAGUCGAGUGACUCUGCGCCGAAAAUGUACCGGGGCUAAAUACACCACCGAAGCUGCGGAUUGAUACCGAAUGGUAUCAGUGGUAGGGGAGCGUUCUAAGGACAGUGAAGUCAGACCGGAAGGACUGGUGGAGUGCUUAGAAGUGAGAAUGCCGGUAUGAGUAGCGAAAGACGGGUGAGAAUCCCGUCCACCGAAUGCCUAAGGUUUCCUGAGGAAGGCUCGUCCGCUCAGGGUUAGUCAGGACCUAAGCCGAGGCCGACAGGCGUAGGCGAUGGACAACAGGUUGAUAUUCCUGUACCACCUCUUUAUCGUUUGAGCAAUGGAGGGACGCAGAAGGAUAGAAGAAGCGUGCGAUUGGUUGUGCACGUCCAAGCAGUUAGGCUGAUAAGUAGGCAAAUCCGCUUAUCGUGAAGGCUGAGCUGUGAUGGGGAAGCUCCUUAUGGAGCGAAGUCUUUGAUUCCCCGCUGCCAAGAAAAGCUUCUAGCGAGAUAAAAGGUGCCUGUACCGCAAACCGACACAGGUAGGCGAGGAGAGAAUCCUAAGGUGUGCGAGAGAACUCUGGUUAAGGAACUCGGCAAAAUGACCCCGUAACUUCGGGAGAAGGGGUGCUUUCUUAACGGAAAGCCGCAGUGAAUAGGCCCAAGCGACUGUUUAGCAAAAACACAGCUCUCUGCGAAGCCGUAAGGCGAAGUAUAGGGGGUGACACCUGCCCGGUGCUGGAAGGUUAAGGAGAGGGGUUAGCGUAAGCGAAGCUCUGAACUGAAGCCCCAGUAAACGGCGGCCGUAACUAUAACGGUCCUAAGGUAGCGAAAUUCCUUGUCGGGUAAGUUCCGACCCGCACGAAAGGUGUAACGAUUUGGGCACUGUCUCAACCAGAGACUCGGUGAAAUUAUAGUACCUGUGAAGAUGCAGGUUACCCGCGACAGGACGGAAAGACCCCGUGGAGCUUUACUGUAGCCUGAUAUUGAAUUUUGGUACAGUUUGUACAGGAUAGGCGGGAGCCUUUGAAACCGGAGCGCUAGCUUCGGUGGAGGCGCUGGUGGGAUACCGCCCUGACUGUAUUGAAAUUCUAACCUACGGGUCUUAUCGACCCGGGAGACAGUGUCAGGUGGGCAGUUUGACUGGGGCGGUCGCCUCCUAAAGUGUAACGGAGGCGCCCAAAGGUUCCCUCAGAAUGGUUGGAAAUCAUUCGUAGAGUGCAAAGGCAUAAGGGAGCUUGACUGCGAGACCUACAAGUCGAGCAGGGACGAAAGUCGGGCUUAGUGAUCCGGUGGUUCCGCAUGGAAGGGCCAUCGCUCAACGGAUAAAAGCUACCCCGGGGAUAACAGGCUUAUCUCCCCCAAGAGUCCACAUCGACGGGGAGGUUUGGCACCUCGAUGUCGGCUCAUCGCAUCCUGGGGCUGUAGUCGGUCCCAAGGGUUGGGCUGUUCGCCCAUUAAAGCGGUACGCGAGCUGGGUUCAGAACGUCGUGAGACAGUUCGGUCCCUAUCCGUCGUGGGCGUAGGAAAUUUGAGAGGAGCUGUCCUUAGUACGAGAGGACCGGGAUGGACGCACCGCUGGUGUACCAGUUGUUCUGCCAAGGGCAUAGCUGGGUAGCUAUGUGCGGAAGGGAUAAGUGCUGAAAGCAUCUAAGCAUGAAGCCCCCCUCAAGAUGAGAUUUCCCAUAGCGUAAGCUAGUAAGAUCCCUGAAAGAUGAUCAGGUUGAUAGGUUCGAGGUGGAAGCAUGGUGACAUGUGGAGCUGACGAAUACUAAUAGAUCGAGGACUUAACCAU
Molecule: ribosomal RNA, 2921 nt
Filed under: Bacillus thuringiensis
Lineage: Bacteria; Bacillati; Bacillota; Bacilli; Caryophanales; Bacillaceae
Description: bacterial LSU rRNA
Rfam family: Bacterial large subunit ribosomal RNA
Source: RNAcentral